AAUGUGUUGACACGUGUCAUAAAGUUUGAACGUGUGAAAGAAAUAUUAUAGAAGGACUAAAGUUGACAAACAAGGAAAGUAUGUGAAUAUACGUAUUCUAAGUGUCAACUGUGAAUAAAUAUAAUGUACAUUAACCCUACAUGAUGCUCAUACCUUCAAACGAAUAAAUCAUGGAUCAUACGAAGCUAAAAGUGAGAGAUUACAAACUACAGGGGUUAAAUGUGUCAACAUGUUUAAAGAUAUACCUCUGAGUGACCUUUUGACAAACCCUAAGCUUUGUAAAUGUUAAUCAUGCUCACUAGAAUGCACGAUUUAAAUUUCAUAAAGUUUCGUCAACGUAUGAGAAAGUUGUGAUCAAAUUCGUGUGCGAGGGUUUAAAGCGUAAACGUUGAAAGUUAGGCCUUUUCGGGUAACAAUUUAGUUACCCGAGGGCUUAACAAAGUGGGUAUAUGUUUUAAAGCCCCUAUAUGUCAAUUAUAAGGGUCCAUACGGCAAUUUAUAAGUGUCUGUACAAGAUUUGAAGAGCCAAGGAUCAAACAGCAAUUAAAUAAAAAAAAAUUUUGGCUGAAUUAAACAUGCUCGCGUAGCGCGAGCCUGAGGUCCUAAGGCGUCGCGCUACGCGACUGCUACAUCUGGACAGAAACUUUAUUUUUUUGAUCCCUUGUCUGCCACAGCCAUGUUACUCCAUUUUGAUCGAUCAUUCUUCACCCAUUGGCCCCUAAAACACCCCCUAGAACACUAGGGCAUGUGUCAAUAAGUUGUGGGGAGUCCUAGACUUGUUUGUCAAUCAUCUAUGGUGUCUUAGUCCACUAUAUAAAGGACCUUCAAGUCACAACCUUUCCUCACACCAUUUACAAGCAAUCUGAGCAUUGGAGGAGCUUACAAGCAGAUCAAGGGCCUUCCUAAUCAACCAUUAAUCAUCUAACUAAAUGCAGGUACUAAACGUAAUUGGCUGGAUUGUCUCCUUAGCAUCAAUAAAGAGUUUCGCAAGCUUAAGAUGCCUGAAGUCUGUUGAACUAUUGUUUCCAUUUUAUGUUCGAUCCUUCUGUGGAUAAGCUCCCGAAUAUUGUGAUAGUUGAUAUUACAAUAAUAAAUUGGGUUGUAUUAUAUUUUAAUUGCUUCCGCUGUGCUUAAUAAUAUUGUGUUGUUUGACUAUUAUGUUGCCAACCAUGACGUCACGAUACUCCCCACCGGGCCUACCGGUGACACGUGGAAAAUCGGGGUGUGACACUAUUGAUCCUAUUAAUCAUGUCUACUAGGAGUUGAUAUUGAAGAAUUUAGAAGAAGAUUUCCUUUUAGGGAGCAUUUAUACAUGAGUCUCAAAACGAGUCUCCCUUCUCGCUAUUGGCCAACAAGUGGUUUGUGAUUGAUGAAGUGGAUAAUUUUCUUAAGGAUAAAGCAUUAAAGGUUCAUUUACUUUGUCUCCUGAACUUUGCGCUGAAAAUCAACCUGCAAGAGCAUAUGAUGCAUGAGGAAGAUGGUUGUCUCUAUGGAUAAAAUUUAAUAUGUUUAUCCUCCUUCAUAUUGUUGCUUUAAACCAUGGGGACGACUCCUAUUACAAAGAGUUGUAUUUCUGAGGGUGUCGCUACAAGUUGGCAUCUGUGCAGUCGGAGCGAAGAGGAAACAACUUAAGAAGAUGGCGAAGAGAGUCGCCGGAGAUGGACGAGGGUGCACGGCGGAUUUUGGCUUGGCUGGAAGUAAUGGUGAAUAGAAGUGUGCACGAGAGUUGCAGCGAACUCCAAGCAGGCGAAGAGAUGGGCAAGAUGGAACAACUAUCCAAUGUUUUACUGCAGCAACGGGUCACUCAAGAUUGUGUUGGCAUGUGGUGUUUUUAAUGUACCCAUUAGGAAGGAUAUCAUUCACCAUGUUGUUAGAUGGCAGCUUGAUAAAGGACAACAAGUAUUAUAUAUUUCUCUAAUUUAUAACUUAAUCUCAUAAUAUCAAUGAUCUUUAAUCAUACGACAUUGAAUAUACGUGUACAAGAAUCCUGCAAUGUUGCCACCAUGGUAUUUGUUUACUUAGUGGAUGAUAUAUGUUCAAGUUUAUGUUGUUAAUUAGUUGUAUAAUCAGUGUUGGUGUAACAUGUGGAUAAUGUUAACAGAUAUGGUGUACUUUUGGAAGUUGUACAAGUUCUUACCGAUACCAAUUUCAUCUUCACAAAGCUUACAUAAGUUCUAAUGGAGGGUGGUUCAUGGAUGGUUAAUGAUCAAGAUGGGAACAAAAUUACUUCAUGUGGAAGUUUUGGAUUACAUUCAAAAGGCUAAAGCAUUAAACUUUAUGAAGUGUUCUAAACACAUUAAUGUUGAUUCAAUCAGGGUCACAUCGUCACAUGGGUAGAAUAGAGAGGUGUUUCGAGCAACCAAAGACUAUGAAAUGUGUGAGAAUGGUUAGGUGGCUGGUAGAAAUUAUAGUGGAAAAUUUGGUAGCCUAUAUCUACUGUUGGUUUCUCAUUGUUUCAAAGUUUAAUGGAAGCUUCAAUCUGAAAGAAUA
Helianthus annuus (common sunflower) is the source of this 2490-nucleotide long non-coding RNA. RefSeq lists it as uncharacterized. The transcript has 7 exons. The record is from RefSeq and is a predicted model, not a curated record. NCBI's taxonomy places the organism in Eukaryota, Viridiplantae, Streptophyta, Magnoliopsida, Asterales, Asteraceae.